Molecule: non-coding RNA, 2618 nt
Organism: Zonotrichia albicollis (white-throated sparrow)
Lineage: Eukaryota; Metazoa; Chordata; Aves; Passeriformes; Passerellidae
Source: RefSeq, a predicted model, not a curated record
ACGCUAGAAUAAAUGUAUAGGUGUAUAUUACAAUUUGUUGCUAUUUCUAUCAAAUGUUACUAUUUUAAUAAUCAACCUGGUCAAAACCUUUCAGGUUUCUUCGUUUGAGUCAGUCGCCUUGAUUCAGAAUGUCACGAGCCUUAAGAUUUCAUGCUGAGGCGCCUUGCAAAUCCGACACUUAAGAUCCUCCUAGACCUUGAGGUGAUCAGCAUAAGAGGCCAGAUCCCCUCGAGCCAUCUACACGUAGCUUCACCUUAUUCUUUAAGGGCAGAAAAUUUGAGACGGUGACCGCCGUAACAGUAAAUUUGGCUUUCAAUUGGGGCCCCCCUCCGGUUUAGAAAGAGGAACACCAGAUUGACCACAUUCCCACCUAGAAAAAUCUUCUUGCGUCAAUCAAGCCUCACCCUGGCUCAUUGGGCUGUCAGUUUGAUCGUCGUUAGAUUGAAGAGAACACCUACCUAGAUGCAGCGCUCGCCUAUAGAUACUUCUAGAUCGUCUAGAUCUGCUAGACCUUGGGCCAAAGAGGGUCGACCUGCAAACUUGCAAGGUCCCGCUCUAGAUCCCGCUCGAGGUCCCGAGGGAGAAGGUAUUCCCGGUCACGCAGCCGCAGCCGUGGUAGGAGGUCCAGGUCAGCUUCCUAUCGCAGGUCCAGGUCCGUGUCUCCUCGUAGGUCUAGGUCUGUGUCUCCCCGCCGGUCCCGGUCGGGUUCCUUGAAGAGAUCAAGGUCUAGAUCAAGAUCCAGAUCUAGAUCCAGAUCUGUUACAUGGCCCCGAAGCAGGUCUAGAUCUCAUGGCAGAUCGAAGUCUGGCUCGCCAGCUAAGAGCCGGUCCAAGUCCCGGUCAGCAUCUCCAAAGAGAAGCCGUUCACCAUCAGGAAGCCCUCAACGAAGUGCAAGUCCUGAAAGAAUGGAUUAAAGUUAUGAAGUUAAUCUUUUAGGAAGAAAGUUAUUUUGCUUACAUUAUUAUAAGGGGUUUUGUGGUGUCUUUGUAAAUGUAAGAAUGUAGAUAGAAGAGUAUAUCAACUAAAAUUUGGCAUGAUCUGGGUCUUCUGAGUUAGUCACACCAAUAGACUAGCACAGGUCUCUUUUUAUUGUAUGAAUUAACUUCCUGUGAUAUGAAAAUGUGGGACUUUUUUAUUGGCACAUUGAAAUAAAAUGUGUAUUUUUAACUAAAACUUCUCUGUAGUAACCCUGCUGCUUCUGUUAACGUUUGGGUAAUUUUAGCUGUGUGCCAUGUAACGUGGAUGAAAAAUGUCUCAAAUGGGAAUCACUAAUCCCAGCUGGUGUCUUCUCAAGGUAGUCACUUUUCACACCUACUGUUGAAUGGUCUUUGGUGAAAGGAUCAGUUCCUGUUCUCCUUGAAAUGGAAUUUAAAUACCAUCUCUGUCUGCAGAUGGAUAAAAAUUUGCAUAUGCCCUUUUCAUUCCUUGAUGUUUAGUGGGCAUUCAUUUUUCUGUCUGAUCUGCUUGUUCUGCAAAGCUCAGUCUCUGGUGUUAGACUGUUGAUACCAGAUGCCUCAAAAAUCUAAGGAUAAACCUUCCUCCAAAACACAUCUUCUAAACAAAUAACAUCUGCAGAAACCUUUAAAGGUAAUAGAAAUGAUUGAUAACUUGACAAUUGCUACUUUCACAUGUUGCAUAUUUUAGUUCUUUGGGCUAUUGAUGUAAAGAAACCGCUUUAAAAUACCUCAAGGCAUGUUUUCCUUUUUUGAGGGAAGAUCCUUAAAAUUAAAGAUUAUCAGCUGCCUUCAGGAGUUCUAACCUGCUUCACAGAAACUGGUAUGGUUGUCAAGCAGCCCUUAUCCUGGAGAUGGCUUUGUUGAGUGAUCCCAAUUUCUUACAGCAAAUACACAACCUGCAGGAGUCAUUGUUUGUGUAUAGGGGUGUCAAAUUGUCCUCAUUCUGUAUGAAGGAAUUGCAUGACAAAGCACUUCAACACAGAUCACAGCAAGGGACUGGCAACAAUGUUGGACUGUGAACAAAAAGCUGGUAGGCAGAGGGGUGAAAAGCAUCUUUUCUUCUUGCUGGGAUUGGCUAUCUAGCAGAAAUAAAGGCCAGUUUCAGCAGCAAGUAAGCACUGAAAUGGAAAGCCAGACCUGUUAGGGCUUCCAAUGAACUCUACCAGCAGUUUGCUUCCACUGUGUAAACCACAGCAAAACAGCUUAAAUAAAGUUACAAGAUGAUUUUGUUACACGUGGGGUAACACAUGGUUUUCAAGAAACAGAUUUCCUGUUAAUGACUGCACGGAGCUUUUCUAGGGGAUGAGUCAACAGUCCAGAUCCUGAAGGUGCUGUUCUGCUGCAGCAUCCUCUGGCCUUCAUUCCUGGUCCUCACUGUGCCUGGAUCCUCUCUGGGGCUCACCAUGGCCAUUGAUGUUCCAGGUGGAUUCUGGCCAUACUCACCAAAUCCCACUGUGGCAGAGCUGACACAAAUGUUGCCCUGCAGUGAUUUAGCCCAAAUGCCUGAAGCCUGUGAUACAUGUUUGGAAUGUUUUACUGCUUGUGCAUUGUGUACCUGCUGAGAGGCACACGUACGCCACUGCUCUGGAAUUUCAUCACCUUUUCUUUUCUGUACUCUCAAGGCAAACCUGCUCCACAAUAAACCUGCAGACUGACACAACA